CGUAUGAAGAUACCAAUUCGGAAGCCUGCAAAGAUGCAUUUCUUCACCAAGCAUCUGAACAUUCUUACAAUGGCAAAGAAUCUGAAGAUUCCUCAAGCAGCAAAGCAUCUGAAGGUUCGUCAAGUCACAAAGCAUAUGAAGAUUUGUCAAGCCGCAAAGCAUCUGAAGAUUUGUCAAGCCGCAAAGCAUCUGAAAAUUCGUCAAGCCGCAAAGCAUCUAGAAUUUCUAACAAUGGCAAAGCAUC
Molecule: long non-coding RNA, 244 nt
Filed under: Linum usitatissimum (flax)
Lineage: Eukaryota; Viridiplantae; Streptophyta; Magnoliopsida; Malpighiales; Linaceae
Description: long non-coding RNA (LUSI_LNC000495)
Source: RNAcentral